GACGAUAUAGUUUAUUUAAAAUAUGUGCUCUGCAAGCAUGUGAUAGAGUUAUUCUUAUUGUUG
This 63-nucleotide transfer RNA is filed under the name Alaria americana. RNAcentral describes it as "tRNA-Ala". Lineage: Eukaryota; Metazoa; Platyhelminthes; Trematoda; Diplostomida; Diplostomidae. The record is from RNAcentral.